GCAAACUUGGUCAUUUAGAGGAAGUAAAAGUCGUAACAAGGUUUCCGUAGGUGAACCUGCGGAAGGAUCAUCACUGAUUCGUCGGGGGAGAGCAGCGUGUGUGUGCGUGCGUUCGCGCGCGCACGCCACCCCGCCACCCCAACCAAUCUUUUGUGCACGGUUUCACGGUCAACGAGAGACGCCGCGCGUGUGUUGGCAAGUCGCGUGUCCCCCUCCUCCCCCGCAAUGUGGUGUGGGGUGGUAGUGGUGAGACUACUUACUUGCCAACCGCAUGCGUCUGUGCGCGUUCUCUGCGCUUACACACAAUCUCUUGUGCAAUCUGUGUCUAACACACGUUACCUAAAUAUAUUAACACAACUUUCAACAAUGGAUCUCUUGGCUCUCGCAUCGAUGAAGAACGCAGC
This 404-nucleotide unclassified non-coding RNA is filed under the name uncultured fungus. Its description in RNAcentral is "partial contains small subunit ribosomal RNA, internal transcribed spacer 1, and 5.8S ribosomal RNA". The stretch from base 1 to 73 matches the Rfam family "Eukaryotic small subunit ribosomal RNA", at positions 1759 to 1831 of the family's 1831-position model. The record is from RNAcentral. Lineage: Eukaryota; Fungi.